GCCACUCACCGUUUGAAAUGCUCGAUGAUCUUCUCCUCCCGCACAUUCUCCGGAAGAGAAAUCCACAGGAGAAAGCAAAAGGCUUCUCAUGUCUCUUCAAGUAGCUCCAAUCGGAUGAAAAUUGGACGGUGAGAUCAAUUUCGAGGAGUGUUGGAGUGUGGUUUCUAUCUUCUAUUUCGGCAGAUAACUGUUCUGCGCUUUUGCAGGGAGGAACAGAAAGAGGAAGAAAAAGGAAGUCUACAGUUUGGAAGAAACAUCCCAGCAGAAUUCAUUCACAGUACGGUGAAAAUAAUAAAACAGUGUCGCGAUAGGGAUCGAAAUGUCCUCCAGAAAACAAAUAUCCCAGUGCAUGAAAUGGGUGUCAUCUUUGAAAAGACAGUGGAGGUGGUCCCUUGAAAAAGGGAAUAAGAGAAAAUAAUUGGCCCUGAGAUUUAGGACUGGAGACAAAAAUAGAUAAUUCCUGUACCAGAAUAAAGCAAGAUUGA
Tachyglossus aculeatus (Australian echidna) is the source of this 485-nucleotide long non-coding RNA. RefSeq lists it as uncharacterized. The transcript is spliced from 3 exons. The record is from RefSeq and is a predicted model, not a curated record. Lineage: Eukaryota; Metazoa; Chordata; Mammalia; Monotremata; Tachyglossidae.